Molecule: ribosomal RNA, 110 nt
Filed under: Danio rerio (zebrafish)
Lineage: Eukaryota; Metazoa; Chordata; Actinopteri; Cypriniformes; Danionidae
Source: RNAcentral
GCCAGCAGCUUGCUCUCUGCAACUCUCACAUGGUCGCCUAUCGGAGCAGAGCUGCGCCCAGUUAGUACCAUCAUGGGAGACCAUAUUGGAAAGCUAGGUUGCUGUUGGAA